Molecule: unclassified non-coding RNA, 323 nt
Filed under: soil metagenome
Description: partial contains 5.8S ribosomal RNA, internal transcribed spacer 2, and large subunit ribosomal RNA
Rfam family: 5.8S ribosomal RNA (bases 1-120)
Source: RNAcentral
GAUGAAGAACGUAGCGAAAUGCGAUAAGUAAUGCGAAUUGCAGAAUUCAGUGAGUCAUCGAAUCUUUGAACGCACAUUGCGCCCUGUGGUAUUCCGCAGGGCAUGCCUGUUCGAGCGUCAUUUCAACCCUCAAGCUCUGCUUGGUGUUGGACCACGCCCUCGCGGCCGGCCCCAAAGCCAGUGGCGGCGCCGUCCGGCUCUAAGCGUAGUACAUCUCUCGCUCUAGGGCCCGGCGGCUGCCUGCCAGAACCCCAAACUCUUAUGGUUGACCUCGGAUCAGGUAGGGAUACCCGCUGAACUUAAGCAUAUCAAUAAGCGGAGGA